RNAcentral lists this ribosomal RNA (1384 nucleotides) under Lacticaseibacillus rhamnosus. RNAcentral's name for it is "bacterial SSU rRNA". It matches the Rfam family "Bacterial small subunit ribosomal RNA", at positions 66 to 1438 of the family's 1533-position model. Lineage: Bacteria; Bacillati; Bacillota; Bacilli; Lactobacillales; Lactobacillaceae. The record is from RNAcentral.
GCUUGCAUCUUGAUUUAAUUUUGAACGAGUGGCGGACGGGUGAGUAACACGUGGGUAACCUGCCCUUAAGUGGGGGAUAACAUUUGGAAACAGAUGCUAAUACCGCAUAAAUCCAAGAACCGCAUGGUUCUUGGCUGAAAGAUGGCGUAAGCUAUCGCUUUUGGAUGGACCCGCGGCGUAUUAGCUAGUUGGUGAGGUAACGGCUCACCAAGGCAAUGAUACGUAGCCGAACUGAGAGGUUGAUCGGCCACAUUGGGACUGAGACACGGCCCAAACUCCUACGGGAGGCAGCAGUAGGGAAUCUUCCACAAUGGACGCAAGUCUGAUGGAGCAACGCCGCGUGAGUGAAGAAGGCUUUCGGGUCGUAAAACUCUGUUGUUGGAGAAGAAUGGUCGGCAGAGUAACUGUUGUCGGCGUGACGGUAUCCAACCAGAAAGCCACGGCUAACUACGUGCCAGCAGCCGCGGUAAUACGUAGGUGGCAAGCGUUAUCCGGAUUUAUUGGGCGUAAAGCGAGCGCAGGCGGUUUUUUAAGUCUGAUGUGAAAGCCCUCGGCUUAACCGAGGAAGUGCAUCGGAAACUGGGAAACUUGAGUGCAGAAGAGGACAGUGGAACUCCAUGUGUAGCGGUGAAAUGCGUAGAUAUAUGGAAGAACACCAGUGGCGAAGGCGGCUGUCUGGUCUGUAACUGACGCUGAGGCUCGAAAGCAUGGGUAGCGAACAGGAUUAGAUACCCUGGUAGUCCAUGCCGUAAACGAUGAAUGCUAGGUGUUGGAGGGUUUCCGCCCUUCAGUGCCGCAGCUAACGCAUUAAGCAUUCCGCCUGGGGAGUACGACCGCAAGGUUGAAACUCAAAGGAAUUGACGGGGGCCCGCACAAGCGGUGGAGCAUGUGGUUUAAUUCGAAGCAACGCGAAGAACCUUACCAGGUCUUGACAUCUUUUGAUCACCUGAGAGAUCAGGUUUCCCCUUCGGGGGCAAAAUGACAGGUGGUGCAUGGUUGUCGUCAGCUCGUGUCGUGAGAUGUUGGGUUAAGUCCCGCAACGAGCGCAACCCUUAUGACUAGUUGCCAGCAUUUAGUUGGGCACUCUAGUAAGACUGCCGGUGACAAACCGGAGGAAGGUGGGGAUGACGUCAAAUCAUCAUGCCCCUUAUGACCUGGGCUACACACGUGCUACAAUGGAUGGUACAACGAGUUGCGAGACCGCGAGGUCAAGCUAAUCUCUUAAAGCCAUUCUCAGUUCGGACUGUAGGCUGCAACUCGCCUACACGAAGUCGGAAUCGCUAGUAAUCGCGGAUCAGCACGCCGCGGUGAAUACGUUCCCGGGCCUUGUACACACCGCCCGUCACACCAUGAGAGUUUGUAACACCCGAAGCCGGUGGCGUAA